AGUGAACGCUGGCGGUAGGCCUAACACAUGCAAGUCGAACGGCAGCACAGUAAGAGUUUGCUCUUACGGGUGGCGAGUGGCGGACGGGUGAGGAAUACAUCGGAAUCUACUUUUUCGUGGGGGAUAACGUAGGGAAACUUACGCUAAUACCGCAUACGACCUACGGGUGAAAGUAGGGGAUCUUCGGACCUUGCGCGAUUGAAUGAGCCGAUGUCGGAUUAGCUAGUUGGCGGGGUAAAGGCCCACCAAGGCGACGAUCCGUAGCUGGUCUGAGAGGAUGAUCAGCCACACUGGAACUGAGACACGGUCCAGACUCCUACGGGAGGCAGCAGUGGGGAAUAUUGGACAAUGGGCGCAAGCCUGAUCCAGCCAUACCGCGUGGGUGAAGAAGGCCUUCGGGUUGUAAAGCCCUUUUGCUGGGAAAGAAAAGCAGCAGGUUAAUACCCCGCUGUUCUGACGGUACCCAAAGAAUAAGCACCGGCUAACUUCGUG
RNAcentral lists this ribosomal RNA (492 nucleotides) under uncultured bacterium. RNAcentral's name for it is "partial 16S ribosomal RNA". It matches the Rfam family "Bacterial small subunit ribosomal RNA", at positions 29 to 507 of the family's 1533-position model. The record is from RNAcentral.